UAGAGUUUGAUCCUGGCUCAGAACGAACGCUGGCGGCAGGCCUAACACAUGCAAGUCGAACGCCCCGCAAGGGGAGUGGCAGACGGGUGAGUAACGCGUGGGAACCUACCUAGAGGUGCGGAAUAGCCCAGGGAAACUUGGAGUAAUACCGCAUAAGCCCGCAAGGGGAAAGAUUUAUCGCCUUUAGAUGGGCCCGCGUCGGAUUAGCUAGUUGGUGAGGUAAUGGCUCACCAAGGCGACGAUCCGUAGCUGGUUUGAGAGAAUGACCAGCCACACUGGGACUGAGACACGGGCGAGACUCCUACGGGAGGCAGCAGUGGGGAAUCUUGGACAAUGGGCGCAAGCCUGAUCCAGCCAUGCCGCGUGAGUGACGAAAGGCCUUAGGGUUGUAAAGCUCUUUUGGCGGGGACGAUAAUGACGGUACCCGCACAAUAAUCCCGG
Molecule: ribosomal RNA, 441 nt
Filed under: uncultured bacterium
Lineage: Bacteria
Description: bacterial SSU rRNA
Rfam family: Bacterial small subunit ribosomal RNA
Source: RNAcentral